AAGCUCUACGUAACUAAAUCGUGCGCAUGGGCGAAAUUUAAAAAGGCAGGCGCAAGCAAAGAAAAUAACGGUUUUCUCUCAGUUUGUACUUUGCAGCAGAAGCAAAAUAUCACCAAACAUGUAUGCAGUUGUGGAUUUUUUUGAAGAAGGGACAUCAGAAAUUGUUCCAGUGGAAAAUAUUGAAGUUUGAUGGGACGUGCGACAAUUUGAAAGAAUGUAUUGCUAUUUGGCAGCGCACGGGGAAGAGAUAUCCUGCCUACAUCAUAGCUCUGGAUGGGCUCGUUCAGAAGUACUCCUCAUUGAGAGACCACAGGGAUAUGUCUCGAGGACACUGCAGCCAUUUUGCUCCUCCUCUACAUCCUUCAAGAAUAUCCAAAUGGACUGUACGUCACAGACAUGUGUGUAAAGUUCCCAUCACCUACAAUAAGAAUAGAUGGGAAUCCCUUUUGCGUCAAAGUCUUCCUUGAUGGAGAGGAGUAUCUCACUGAAGAGCCUGAGGACAUCUCCAUGGGAUUGGGAGUGUCGAUGGGGUUCCAUUUCCUUUUCAAUAUUUAGUAUGCAGCAUCAGUGAAAAGCACUAUGCUGUGCAUUCAGAAAUGUGUUGUGGGAAUUGAUGAGGGGGGUAAAUUACCAACAAAUGUUGAAUGGCAAACUUUUUGCUGCAAGAGUGAUAUGGGAGACCAGAGCACAAAGUUACACAUGGUGAGUUGUACCAGCCAAAAUUACUCCAAUUAGAAACCACUUAGAAAGCUGUUAUUCGAUGUGCUAAUGAUUUGUUAGUGUCUCUACAUGCCUUUUAGUUUUAUUAUUGACCUGUGAAAUAUUUUUCAUUUAUCUAAACAUAUAAUUUUUAUCAGUAAGAUGGGGUCUUUUGAUUGGUAUAGUUGAAGUCAAUAAUUAUUGUGUUUUUGUUUAUCGAUUGCAUAUUUGGAUUUCUGAAACUUUCAUAGUCAAUCAAAUUAAUUUGUGUCUUUACAGGUUUGCCACUCAAUGUUUUUUAUUUAUUUAUUUCACCUUUAUUUAACCAGGUAGGCCAGUUGAGAACAAGUUCUCAUUUACAACUGCGACCUGGCCAAGAUAACCCUAGAGGUUAGGUGGGACGUUAGCGUCCCACUCUAUUCAACAGCCAGUGGAAGAGCGUGGCGCGAACUACAAAAACCUCAAAAAUGCUAUAAUUUCACU
Long non-coding RNA from Salmo salar (Atlantic salmon), 1182 nucleotides. RefSeq lists it as uncharacterized. Lineage: Eukaryota; Metazoa; Chordata; Actinopteri; Salmoniformes; Salmonidae. The record is from RefSeq and is a predicted model, not a curated record.